This 248-nucleotide ribosomal RNA is filed under the name uncultured bacterium. RNAcentral's name for it is "partial 16S ribosomal RNA". It matches the Rfam family "Bacterial small subunit ribosomal RNA", at positions 796 to 1041 of the family's 1533-position model. The record is from RNAcentral.
CACGCCCUAAACGUUCUUCACUAGCUUUCGGGGGAAUCGACCCCCUCGGAGGCGAAGCUAACGCGUUAAGUGAAGCGCCUGGGUAGUACGGCCGCAAGGCUAAAACUCAAAGGAAUAGACGGGGACUUGCACAAGUAGUGGAUUAUGCGGUUUAAUUCGAUGACAAACGAAAAACCUUACCAAGGUUAGAAAUCUACGUGAAGCUUCACAGAAAUGAGUAGCGUCCGCAAGGACUCGUAGACAGGUGA